ACUAAGUAAUAUUUAAAACAAUUUGAGAAAAAGUGCAUGAAUAAGUAUUUUAUAAGUUCUAUUAAAAAAUAAAUUGAUAUAACUAGAAAUAAAACAAUUUAAAAAUCUAUUUUACUAAAAUCACGUCUUAGACAUGAAUUAAGCUGAAUUUCUAUGUGCUAUUCGAAUGGUACGUAGUUUCCUUUUUCUAAAUUAAUUAAAUUCAACAAUAAGAAUCAUUAUGAAGAUUUAUGUUUGUAAAUGUUUAAAUACAUACAUCUUAUUAUACAACGUGAUGCAAUAAUUUAAAUUCAUCUUGAUUUUUAUAAUUAUAUACAUUUCUUUUAUAUAUGUAUAUAGAUACAUAUAUAAUUUUUAAACGUUACUAAUCACGUGAUUUAUUUUGUAAGUAAAAUGACUAUAUAAAAGUAAUUAUUAUUAUGUUAUUUGUUAUUAUCUUAUUAUGUUAAGUUAUUAUUAUUAUUUAUAAUAUAAUAUUCAGAAUUUUAUUAUUAAAAUCAUGUUUUAUUUAAUCGUAAUUUAGAAAUCGUAAACAUUCUUUAUUUUUACUUCUUGCCGAUUUUAUAUUAUUAAUUAGAUAUAUUUCAAUCGUAAAAUUUUAAAAAACGUAAAUAAAGAGAAUAAAUAAUAUAGAAUAUAAUAAUAUAAAUAAGAGAUAAUGUAGAGAUAGGAUAAGAAUUGAACUUCAGUAUUUCAUUUUUUGAAUAUUUUUAAGAAGAGAUUUUUAACAUUCAAGAGAUAACGCUGAUUUCUCAGUUUUUCCCUAUGAUUCGCCUACUUGUCUUUUAACACGUAAUUACAAUGAAGAUAUCAAUUGAAUUUCAUUAUUUCUCUUUCAAAAUUACAUUGUGCCUUAAUCUUUAUUUUAUCUGUAUCAUAUAACCAUAAAUGAAAUAUAGAAAUACAUUAAAAAUAUUUUUUGAUAAAAAUUGCAAAUCGAUUUUAAAAAAUAAAAGGGCAUAGAAUAGUAAAUAAAAAGUGUUAUUAUAUUAUUUUUUUUGCAAAUCGUUGUUAUUAAAUAUCCAAUAAUAUUGUUUGGUACAAUGACUGACAAAAGUUGAUGGAUUGCAUGAAAUAUACAUGCAUAUGAAAUGAUAUUCUUUGAGCGGCAAUCAUUCCCACAUAAUGUACAAUUCAUUGUAGAAGUCUGGAAUAAAAAGGCAGCGAAAUGGCAUAUUCAUUAUUUACUUUUUUCGUUUUAAAUACAUUAUGAUUCCAUCUAAAAAAUCUUUUAACAACAAAAUUUGAUUGAAAAGAAAAAUCAUUCUAUUAUUAUUUUGAACUAUCUGUAUGUAUGUUUUCUUAUACAAAAUGUUGUAUAUAUACAUAUAGAUAUAUAUAUAUAUAUACAUAUAUACACAUAUAUAUAUAUACAUAUGUAUAUACAUAUAUAUAUAUAUAAAGAAAUAAUACAUGAUGUAAAAAGAUUGGACGAGUAUAAAAGAUGAUAAAACAUGGAUGAAGCUUGGUGAAAUUUAGCAGUCUUCUAUGGCUCGGAAGAAAAAAAAGAAUUGUAAUUUGUUUCUACCCUGUUCUUAAUAAAACAUAUUUACGUGAUACUAAAAUUUUAAGAAAAUGGCAAUAACUACCGUGCAUUGUUUAAUAUCUUCUUAAGAUGAUCUUUUUAUAUAAUUUUCUCUUUUCAUACAAUAUACACGGUUGAAGAAUCAUUUAAAUUGUUCUAAGAUAAAAAAGAACAUAUCGAGACUUAGAUUCUAAUCGUUUAACAUGUAGAAUGUAUCAUUAAAGAUGUUAUGAUUUAAUGACUUUGAUAUUUUAAAAAAUAAAAAUCUAUUAUUUUUUGGAUUUUAUUUAAUAUUAAAAUAUGAUCUUAUUUAUCAUAAGAAAAUUUCGAUUAUUUGUUUAAAUAAUUAUUUAAGAUAAUUCGUAAAUAUAAUAUAUAUAUAUAAAACAAUUAAUUAAUACCUUAAUCAUCAUUUUAAAAAUAAACAAAAAUGCUUUUAAAUAAAGCUUUUAAUAAAUUAAAAAAAGAGAAAGUGCACCAUCUACGUAUAUUCUUCGAAUAAUUAAGUUAUUUUCAAAUUGAAUGAAGUUCAAGGAUUUAGAAAUUUUUUUAAAUAUUUCUAUAAAUAUUCAAUUUGCAACAUAUUUAGUCAUACAUUCUGUUCUGUCUCUAUAAGAUCCAGUCUUAUAUUUAUAUACAAUUUCUGCGAAGAAAAAGAAUCAAGGCACUAAAAAAACAAUAUCGCGUAUCUUCGAAAUAUGCACAACAAGAAUUUUUUGAACAACGAUCGAAAAUGAUCGAAACGAAAAACGAUCGUGCACUCGUAACCUAUCGCUGUAAUGUAACACGUAUUGUGAAGCAUAUUACUUUGUAAAUAUAAAUAAUUCUCGAGAAUAUAAAGUUCGAAUAAAAGCCGAAAUUAUGUGUUCCAAUUUCGUUAAUAUUCUUACGAUCAAACAAUUUUAAAUUUGAUCGAUGAAUCAAUUUAAUUUAAAAUGGAAUACGCAAGAAAUGGGUCAUUACAAAUUUUUUAAAUCUUAAUAUUAUUUUUCGAAAAGAUUAUUAAUUUUUUAUUAUUAUCAAUAAAAAAUUUUUAUUUUUAUUGUCCUGCAAAAUACUUGUCAAAAUUUAAUCCAUAAUGAAAUGAGUGAUUUUCUUUUUUAUAUAAUUUUUUUUUUUUAAGAAUUUAUAAGAAUUUUACAAUCUUCGAAAAAUUGAUCGUCCAUUCUAUAUAAAUUCUUAAUUAUUCUUAUCGAUGAAAGUGCGCCUUUCAGUUAAUUUAGACUUGAGCUUCUUUAAGUCAAGUUAAAGGUCCAAUUUAUAUUUUAAUCUCGAUUAUGAUGACGCAUAACGCGUCAUCAUCGAUGUCUUUCACUAAACUUCUUACAGACUAGCAAGCGUGCACAUCGCGAUAUUUAUCACACCUACGUGCCAUUCUAUCUCUUAUCCUUAAUCGAUCACUUUUUGCACGUCUUCUUUCGUCUCUUUUUGUGCAAUGUGCACUAGGAACAGAUGGACAGUUUCCACCAGUUAAAUCAAUCGAUUUUCUAAUUGAAGCGUUAUUUUUAUCAAUAAAAUGUUAUCAAAUUUUAAUUUUAAUUGACAAAAUUGUUCUAAAUUUCGAUUCCAAUCAUUCAAAUUUUUAUAAACUUCAACUCAAAUUAUUACAAUUUUUGAAAAGAAUUAAUUAUUACAAGAAAAUUUAUCAUUAAUUAAAUUAAUCAUUAUUAGAUAUUAGACGUAAUAAAUAUUUAUUUUCGAUGAUAUAAAUCGAUGAAUAACCUUGGAAACUUCUUAUCUUACAAAUCACUUUCUUGUCGCGGUAAAAUUGAACGAACGCACGUUAAAGCCACAUGUAUAUAUAUAUAUAUAUAUAUGUGUGUGUCUGUAUGUGUAUAUAUAUAUAUAUAUAAAAAAUAUUAAUAAAAAAAAAUAAAACGCGAACGGUCCUUGUUCGUAGGUAAAACGACGCUUAAGUAUAAUUUAUAUAUCUAUUAACUUAAUGCGUACAUACGCUACUAAAAACAAGAAGAAAAAAAUGAAAAAAAAACCGUCCUGCAGUUGUGUGAAGUCGAUGGAAAAAACUUCGUCGUGCGUACGGCCUACGCAACUUAAAUAAAUAAUAAAAGACAGAGAAAUGGGGAAGAAAGAAAGGGCGCUUCCAUCCACGUCCUUGAUGAUAACACUCGUCUCAGUUAUUAGCACGGAUCACGCGCAUCGUGAAAUCCACCAUCCCGUGGAUCCGGGUACUCCGAGCCACGUUGUGCUAUUGACUUUUGCUCGGUUAAUCGCUCGAACGUAUGGCGGUAAAAGUCAUUAAUGUCGCACGCAAAUUCCAACGAAUUUUCUUAUGAAAUCUUAUUUCUUUUUAAAUUUUUGAAAAAAUGUUUGAGAAUUUAACAAUAUAAAGUUUGCGCGUGCAAAUUAAAAAUUUAGAAGUUGAAAAAUUUAAGAAUUUAAAUUGCAUAGAAUUUUUUGAGACUUGAAAAUUUGCCAUUUCUUAAAAAUUAUUUUUCGAAUUUGAGAGUAGCAUAGAAUUUUCAAAUUUAAUUAAUUAAAAGUGGAUGAUCGUAAUAAGGACGAGUAUGUUAUCAUUUCUGAUAAAAUUAAAUCUUCGUAAUCGAGGAAAUUAUCUAUUCAAAGAUUAACGUGCCACAUUAAUGAUUCUUACCGUACAUUUGGCGUACGGUGUUGUACGGCGCGACGUCAGUAGCGACGACUCUGACGUAAUUCGGUAAAAAUCGAUUAUGCUUUCUAUAAUACAUAUUAAGCCAUAUCCUAUGUGACAUACAUUUCUUAUUGAUUACAUAAGUUGCAAAGAAGAAUGAAGCAACGAUGACGAAUCUAUAUGAUACUUUCUACAAAAAGAGUUCGUGUAUAUCUGUCUUUCGAAUCAUUUUUUUUUAUUAAAUAUAAUAACUAAAGAUAAGCAAUUAAAAUUAAUCUCUUAUUUCGUUUCAUUUUACCGUUUUAAUAUUCUUUGUGAUAGAAGUUUUAUUCGUGUUUUUUAAUAAACCUUAAUACAUCUCAUGAUUAAUUAUAUUUUCAAAAUACGACUCUCAAAUUAGACUAAAUUUAUAUAUAUAUAUAUUAUACAACAUAAAAAUAUUAAAAUAUUUAAAUCAUAACAACCGAUUCACGAUGAUCCAAUACUGCAAAUAAUAAUAUCUCUAUAUUAAAAAUACACGAACUCCCCUGAACAUAAUGACUUCUUAUCUAUUUACAAUUAAUAGAAACGAUAAGAAUAACAAGAAUAUAAUAAAAAAAAAAAAAAAAACAAAA
This is a long non-coding RNA of Apis cerana (Asiatic honeybee), 4747 nucleotides long. RefSeq lists it as uncharacterized. Lineage: Eukaryota; Metazoa; Arthropoda; Insecta; Hymenoptera; Apidae. The record is from RefSeq and is a predicted model, not a curated record.